This 492-nucleotide ribosomal RNA is filed under the name uncultured bacterium. RNAcentral describes it as "partial 16S ribosomal RNA". It matches the Rfam family "Bacterial small subunit ribosomal RNA", at positions 27 to 506 of the family's 1533-position model. The record is from RNAcentral.
GAGUGAACGCUGGCGGUAGGCCUAACACAUGCAAGUCGAACGGCAGCCCAGUAAGAGCUUGCUCUUACGGGUGGCGAGUGGCGGACGGGUGAGGAAUACAUCGGAAUCUACUUUUUCGUGGGGGAUAACGUAGGGAAACUUACGCUAAUACCGCAUACGACCUACGGGUGAAAGCAGGGGAUCUUCGGACCUUGCGCGAUUGAAUGAGCCGAUGUCGGAUUAGCUAGUUGGCGGGGUAAAGGCCCACCAAGGCGACGAUCCGUAGCUGGUCUGAGAGGAUGAUCAGCCACACGGGAACUGAGACACGGUCCAGACUCCUACGGGAGGCAGCAGUGGGGAAUAUUGGACAAUGGGCGCAAGCCUGAUCCAGCCAUACCGCGUGGGUGAAGAAGGCCUUCGGGUUGUAAAGCCCUUUUGUUGGGAAAGAAAAGCAGCAGGUUAAUACCCCGCUGUUCUGACGGUACCCAAAGAAUAAGCACCGGCUAACUUCGU